RNAcentral lists this ribosomal RNA (328 nucleotides) under uncultured Chlorobiota bacterium. RNAcentral describes it as "bacterial SSU rRNA". It matches the Rfam family "Bacterial small subunit ribosomal RNA", at positions 28 to 351 of the family's 1533-position model. Lineage: Bacteria; Pseudomonadati; Chlorobiota. The record is from RNAcentral.
GACGAACGCUGGCGGCGUGCUUAACACAUGCAAGUCUGCGAGAAAGGGGUAGCAAUAUCCCGAGUAAAGUGGCGCACGGGUGAGUAACACGUAGGCAAUUUGCCUUCAGGACGGGGAUAAUUUCGCGAAAGCGGGACUAAUACCCGAUUAUGCAGCGGCACCGCAUGGUGACAGUUGUUAAAGGCCGUAAGGCGCCUGGAGAUGAGCCUGCGUCCCAUUAGGUAGUUGGCGGGGUAACGGCCCACCAAGCCCGCGAUGGGUAGCUGGUCUGAGAGGAUGGCCAGCCACACUGGAACUGAGACACGGUCCAGACUCCUACGGGUGGCUG